This 1176-nucleotide ribosomal RNA is filed under the name Triticum aestivum (bread wheat). Its description in RNAcentral is "partial small subunit ribosomal RNA". The record is from RNAcentral. Lineage: Eukaryota; Viridiplantae; Streptophyta; Magnoliopsida; Poales; Poaceae.
AUGGAGCAACACGAGCGCGCGGCUGUUGAUCCGCUCGAGGGGCAGACGGAGCAGGGCGGGGAGGAUCCCGCUCCGGCGGCGGUUCUCGCCGGCGAGGUGGCCGGCGCCAAGGAGGGCGACCAGGAGCGCGCCCCGGAGACGCACAAUCCCGUCGGUGCCGCCGCGUCGGAGGGCGCCAAGAAGCAGGAUCUUGAGGAACCUUCGCCGGAGUCCGACGAGGUCGCGGCGGCGUCUACCAACAUCCAGAGCGAAGACCGCGAGGCGUUCGAGGACCCUAUGGAGACUCACUUCGAGUUCCGAUCAGCGGCCGCCGAUGCGACGCCGACGUACACCUCCCUCCGCGCACGGUCAAGGAAGCAGGCCGGGCCGACGAAGUUCGUCGCCGUGGGAGCUCCCGACGGUGCCGGCUCCGAGGCGCCUGUUCUUGGCGCGUCGUCGUCUUCGGCGCCGGCGCGAGCGGCGGGCACGCACGAGGACUUCUCUGCGACGGCCGCGCCCGGCGCCACGGUGGCGAUCGCGCACGCCUCGCCGCCCGACUCCAAUCGCCGCCUGCCGUCGCGAAGCAGGAAGCAGUACUCCCCGAUGCGCUUCGCCUCCGCGGGGGCGUCAACUUCGACCGGCGCACCGGCCGCAGGCGACCCAGCUCCCCCUGCUCGAGGCAGGAAGCAGCCCCGGCCCGAGCACUUCAUCCCGGAGGAAGCGGCAGCCACGGCCGGCGCCAAAGCUCGCCGGGGCGACAUCGUCCUCGACAGGUUCCUCUCGUCUACUAUGGCCCGCGGCUCCUCGGUUUCGGAUUGGGCGAGGGACGUCACGGCGGAGGACGCGGGUCGGCAGCCCAAGCGCCCGCGCGGCGUCGAGAGCUUCAGGAUCAGGGACGCGAGCCGCCACGCCGCCCGUGCCUGCGGGCUACGCGUCGCGAUCAGCCGCCUCGGAGCCUCGUGCGGCGGCAGUUCGUCGCCAUCAACGGCGGCCCCGGGACAGCCCGAGGGGAGCGGGAAGAUGUACGGCAUCCUCGCCGUUCUCGGCGCUUCUCUGGCGCUCAGCGUGGUGUCCUGCGUGCUGUUCUACCUCGUCGGUCAGAGCAGCCAGGCUGCUCCCUCCGGGGAGAACCAGGACAAGGUAAUUGCCCUACUUCUCAAUUCUCAAUUUCUCAUUUUUUGUCCGAAUUGGUGUGGC